ACUGGAAAUCAAGUUAUUUGCAUACAUGUCAUGUGUGGAGAAAAGACCUUUAGCUAUCCCAUCCAUCAUCUUAUUUCUCAAAUUUAUUUUACAAUCUAUCUAAUUUUUCAUACUUGUUUGUUUGUUUCAACUUCAUCCAAAUCAAAACCCCCCUUUUACUUUCUUGUUUCAAAGUGUUUCAAAUCUGUUUAGUUUGUGUUUUUAAGUGUUUUGAUUCAAGUAAAAGUCAAUUUUCGUCCAAAGUCAUUCCUAGUGUCUAGUUUAAGUUUAUUUAGUUGUUUUAAGUUGUUUUGAUUAUUUUAAGGUUGCUUUGAGUCUUGUGAGUCUUGUUAAGUG
Molecule: long non-coding RNA, 336 nt
Filed under: Malus domestica (apple)
Lineage: Eukaryota; Viridiplantae; Streptophyta; Magnoliopsida; Rosales; Rosaceae
Description: long non-coding RNA (MDOM_LNC021132)
Source: RNAcentral